This 696-nucleotide ribosomal RNA is filed under the name Micrococcus luteus. RNAcentral describes it as "bacterial LSU rRNA". It matches the Rfam family "Bacterial large subunit ribosomal RNA", at positions 2129 to 2821 of the family's 2925-position model. The record is from RNAcentral. Lineage: Bacteria; Bacillati; Actinomycetota; Actinomycetes; Micrococcales; Micrococcaceae.
CCUUGAUGUGUAGGAUAGGUGGGAGGCUUUGAAGCGCGGACGCAGUCUGCGUGGAGCCAUCCUUGAAAUACCACCCUUUAAUGUUUGAUGUUCUAACGUAGGCCCGUGAUCCGGGCUGCGGACAGUGUCUGGUGGGUAGUUUGACUGGGGCGGUCUCCUCCCAAAGCGUAACGGAGGAGCACGAAGGUUGGCUAAUCCUGGUCGGACAUCAGGAGGUUAGUGCAAUGGCAUAAGCCAGCUUGACUGCGAGAGUGACGGCUCGAGCAGGUGCGAAAGCAGGUCAUAGUGAUCCGGUGGUUCUGAAUGGAAGGGCCAUCGCUCAACGGAUAAAAGGUACUCCGGGGAUAACAGGCUGAUACCGCCCAAGAGUUCAUAUCGACGGCGGUGUUUGGCACCUCGAUGUCGGCUCAUCACAUCCUGGGGCUGAAGUAGGUCCCAAGGGUACGGCUGUUCGCCGUUUAAAAGUGGUACGCGAGCUGGGUUUAGAACGUCGUGAGACAGUUCGGUCCCUAUCUGCCGUGGGCGCUGGAGAAUUGAGGGGGGGCUGCUCCUAGUACGAGAGGACCGGAGUGGACGCAUCACUGGUGUUCGGGUUGUCAUGCCAAUGGCACUGCCCGGUAGCUAAAUGCGGAAGAGAUAAGUGCUGAAAAGCAUCUAAGCACGAAACUUGCCCCCGAGAUGAGUUCUCCCUGACCC